AGAGUUUGAUCCUGGCUCAGGACGAACGCUGGCGGCGUGCCUAACACAUGCAAGUCGAGCGAGGGAUUUGCAACUGAUUCCUUCGGGAUGAAGAUGCAAAUAGCCUAGCGGCGGACGGGUGAGUAACGCGUGAGAAACCUGCCUUUCACUAAGGGAUAGCCUCGGGAAACUGGGAUUAAUACCUUAUGACACUUAAAUGUCGCAUGACAUUUAAGUUAAAGCGUAAAGCGGUGGAAGAUGGUCUCGCGUCCCAUUAGCUAGUUGGUGAGGUAAGAGCUCACCAAGGCGACGAUGGGUAGCCGGCCUGAGAGGGUGAACGGCCACACUGGAACUGAGACACGGUCCAGACUCCUACGGGAGGCAGCAGUGGGGAAUAUUGCACAAUGGAGGGAACUCUGAUGCAGCGACGCCGCGUGAGUGAUGAAGGCCUUCGGGUCGUAAAACUCUGUCCUAAGGGACGAUAAUGACGGUACCUUAGGAGGAAGCCCCGGCUAACUACGUGCCAGCAGCCGCGGUAAUACGUAGGGGGCGAGCGUUGUCCGGAAUUAUUGGGCGUAAAGGGUGCGUAGGCGGCCUUUUAAGUCAGAUGUGAAAGGUCACGGCUCAACCGUGGUAAGCAUUUGAAACUGGAAGGCUUGAGUUAAGGAGAGGAAAGUGGAAUUCCUAGUGUGGCGGUGAAAUGCGUAGAUAUUAGGAGGAAUACCAGUGGCGAAGGCGACUUUCUGGCCUUAAACUGACGCUGAGGCACGAAAGCGUGGGGAGCAAACAGGAUUAGAUACCCUGGUAGUCCACGCCGUAAACGAUGAGUGCUAGGUGUUGGGGGUUAACCCUCAGUGCCGCAGCUAACGCAUUAAGCACUCCGCCUGGGGAGUACGUGCGCAAGCAUGAAACUCAAAUGAAUUUGACGG
RNAcentral lists this ribosomal RNA (908 nucleotides) under uncultured bacterium. RNAcentral's name for it is "bacterial SSU rRNA". It matches the Rfam family "Bacterial small subunit ribosomal RNA", at positions 8 to 916 of the family's 1533-position model. The record is from RNAcentral.